Molecule: ribosomal RNA, 320 nt
Filed under: uncultured bacterium
Lineage: Bacteria
Description: bacterial SSU rRNA
Rfam family: Bacterial small subunit ribosomal RNA
Source: RNAcentral
GACGAACGCUGGCGGCGUGCCUAAUACAUGCAAGUAGAACGCUGAAUACUGGAGCUUGCUCUGGUAUGAUGAGUUGCGAACGGGUGAGUAACGCGUAGGUAACCUACCUUAUAGCGGGGGAUAACUAUUGGAAACGAUAGCUAAUACCGCAUAAUAUCUAUUAACUCAUGUUAGAAGAUUGAAAGGAACAAAUGUUCCACUAUGAGAUGGACCUGCGUUGUAUUAGCUAGUUGGUAAGGUAACGGCUUACCAAGGCGACGAUACAUAGCCGACCUGAGAGGGUGAUCGGCCACACUGGGACUGAGACACGGCCCAGACUC